GACGAACGCUGGCGGCGUGCUUAACACAUGCAAGUCGAACGAAGAGCGAUGGAAGCUUGCUUCUAUCAAUCUUAGUGGCGAACGGGUGAGUAACGCGUAAUCAACCUGCCCUUCAGAGGGGGACAACAGUUGGAAACGACUGCUAAUACCGCAUACGAUCUAAUCUCGGCAUCGAGGAUAGAUGAAAGGUGGCCUCUACAUGUAAGCUAUCACUGAAGGAGGGGAUUGCGUCUGAUUAGCUAGUUGGCGGGGGAACGGCCCACCAAGGCGAUGAUCAGUAGCCGGUCUGAGAGGAUGAACGGCCACAUUGGGACUGAGACACGGCCCAGACUCCUACGGGAGGCAGCAGUGGGGAAUCUUCCGCAAUGGACGAAAGUCUGACGGAGCAACGCCGCGUGAGUGAUGACGGCCUUCGGGUUGUAAAGCUCUGUUAAUCGGGACGAAAGGCCUUCUUGCGAAUAGUGAGAAGGAUUGACGGUACCGGAAUAGAAAGCCACGGCUAACUACGUG
Molecule: ribosomal RNA, 510 nt
Filed under: uncultured bacterium
Lineage: Bacteria
Description: partial 16S ribosomal RNA
Rfam family: Bacterial small subunit ribosomal RNA
Source: RNAcentral